GACGAACGCUGGCGGCGUGCUUAACACAUGCAAGUCGAACGGAAAGGCCCUGCUUUUGUGGGGUGCUCGAGUGGCGAACGGGUGAGUAACACGUGAGUAACCUGCCCUUGACUUUGGGAUAACUUCAGGAAACUGGGGCUAAUACCGGAUAGGAGCUCCUGCUGCAUGGUGGGGGUUGGAAAGUUUCGGCGGUUGGGGAUGGACUCGCGGCUUAUCAGCUUGUUGGUGGGGUAGUGGCUUACCAAGGCUUUGACGGGUAGCCGGCCUGAGAGGGUGACCGGCCACAUUGGGACUGAGAUACGGCACAGACUCCUACGGGAGGCAGCAGUGGGGAAUAUUGCACGAUGGGCGGAAGCCUGAUGCAGCAACGCCGCGUGCGGGAUGACGGCCUUAGGGUUGUAAACCGCUUUCGCCUGUGACGAAGCGUGAGUGACGGUAAUGGGUACAGAAGCACCGGCUAACUACGUG
RNAcentral lists this ribosomal RNA (468 nucleotides) under uncultured bacterium. RNAcentral describes it as "partial 16S ribosomal RNA". It matches the Rfam family "Bacterial small subunit ribosomal RNA", at positions 28 to 507 of the family's 1533-position model. The record is from RNAcentral.